RNAcentral lists this ribosomal RNA (284 nucleotides) under uncultured beta proteobacterium. Its description in RNAcentral is "partial 16S ribosomal RNA". It matches the Rfam family "Bacterial small subunit ribosomal RNA", at positions 9 to 296 of the family's 1533-position model. Lineage: Bacteria; Pseudomonadati; Pseudomonadota; Betaproteobacteria. The record is from RNAcentral.
GAGUUUGAUCAUGGCUCAGAUUGAACGCUGGCGGAAUGCUUUACACAUGCAAGUCGAGCGGCAGCGCGGGGCAACCUGGCGGCGAGCGGUGAACGGGUGAGUAAUGCGAUCGGAACAUGUCCAUGUCGUGGGGGAUAGCCCGGCGAAAGCCGGAUUAAUACCGCAUAUGCCCGAGAGAGGAAAGUGGGGGACCGCAAGGCCUCACGCGAUUGGGUUGGCCGAUGUCCGAUUAGCUAGUUGGCGGGGUAAGAGCCACCAAGGCGAUGAUCGGUAGCUGGUCUGAG